GGUAUCCCUACCAUGACUGGGGGUGUCCCUUGUUUAGUACCAGCUAUCCGCAAUGAGCGUCUACCCAAGGACUUCAAAGGCCCUAGGAAGGUGCCUAAUUACACAGCAGACUUACAGACUGCAGCCUGGAUCGAGAGUUAUGAGAUGGCUAUGGAGCUGCUGGAGGUCAGUGAGGCGGCCAUGGCUAAGUAUUUCACCAUGAUGUUAGAUGGGACUGCCCGCACUUGGUUGAAAGGGCUACCACCGAAUUCCAUUGGGUCUUGGGCUGAGCUGAAAGCCCGGUUCAUCCAAAACUUCAAGGACACCUGUAGGUAG
RNAcentral lists this ribosomal RNA (315 nucleotides) under Triticum aestivum (bread wheat). RNAcentral's name for it is "partial small subunit ribosomal RNA". The record is from RNAcentral. Lineage: Eukaryota; Viridiplantae; Streptophyta; Magnoliopsida; Poales; Poaceae.